ACUGGAUUUGCGUCCUUGUACCAAAGAAUCUCUGGCGUUGGUGUGCCAUCGGCUUGGCAAUUGAGUAUAAUUGAGUCACCUGCAAGAAACAAAUAACGCAGCCGAGGCAACGACAAUGCACAAUGGCAAAUUAAUAAGGAUGUGAUAUUUCAUUCAGCUCAGCUUACAGAACAGCUAAACGUCGCGUCGCAUCGUAGGUAUCAAGCUCACCCCUCCGUCCCGUCUUCCUCCUGCUCCGUCUUCCUGCUAACGAAUGUUGGCAACAUUAACAUAGUGUCAACCAGGACCAAAACCGAAGUUACUAGAAAACAUCUCUACCAAUUCAUUUAAAGUCCGGUUAUUCUGUCAACCAGUUAAGUCAGUUACGAGGUCCAAAGCAAAGCAAACCUAAAAGCAUGUCGAUAUUAGGCCAGAUAAAUUGAAAAUGAAUUGCGAAAUAGAGUGAGCUGAUGGCAAUGGAAGGGCAUCCUCCAAAAGAACUUUAGCGAGGGCCUCAUAGAAAUACAUAAACAACAGGCAGCUAGAGGCAGUUAUCCAGAAGGAAAGGGCAGCCAUCCAGCACAAGCUCAACACAACAUAGCACAGUACAACAUUCAUCCACGUCAAUGGCAUUAAGUCAGUCGCAGCGAAGGCAUCAAGAGAAUUGAAUGAAGCGGAAACGGAAACCAAGCUAAUGAAUGAAGCACAACGAACCAAAUGAACGCCAUGGGUUGCUCAGGGUGCUUGGGUGCCUCGCCCAAAGGUCCAAAACCGAUGUUAAACUGUGCACUUCACUGGUUCGACGAGGUGACCACGGUCUUACUAUCCCAAUGCAACCUCAGCCUUCUUCAUCUAACUUAAGGACAUUUACAGUUUACACCCAAAUGAAUAUUUAAAUUUGGAAACACAAUAGCUCUAGUGCCAAUAAAUGUGAUGAUCAACACAAAAUCAGUGACAAAAUCGUCAGACCACGCUAAUUUUUGCUUCCAGUAUUAACUCUAAGCAAAAUUCCUAAAAUGUGACGAUUAAGACAAUAUCUGAAAAUCGCUCUACUUUAUAAAUUGUAAUUAGGCUUAAUUAAGAGACAUCUAAGUCAAACUCAAAGUUCAUUAUCUUAUUAUUUUUGUAUUUCAAUAUCA
This is a long non-coding RNA of Drosophila sulfurigaster albostrigata, 1118 nucleotides long. RefSeq lists it as uncharacterized. The record is from RefSeq and is a predicted model, not a curated record. NCBI's taxonomy places the organism in Eukaryota, Metazoa, Arthropoda, Insecta, Diptera, Drosophilidae. The transcript is spliced from 3 exons.